Molecule: unclassified non-coding RNA, 309 nt
Filed under: plant metagenome
Description: partial contains 5.8S ribosomal RNA, internal transcribed spacer 2, and large subunit ribosomal RNA
Rfam family: 5.8S ribosomal RNA (bases 1-105)
Source: RNAcentral
GAAAUGCGAUAAGUAAUGUGAAUUGCAGAAUUCAGUGAAUCAUCGAAUCUUUGAACGCACAUUGCGCCCGCCAGUAUUCUGGCGGGCAUGCCUGUUCGAGCGUCAUUUCAACCAUCAAGCCCCCGGGCUUGUGUUGGGGACCUGCGGCUGCCGCAGGCCCCAAAAACCAGUGGCGGGCUCGCUGUCACACCGGGCGUAGUAGAUUUUUCGUCUCGCCCAGGGCGUGCUGCGGGUUCCGGCCGUUAAAAAGCCUCUCUUUUAACCCAAGGUUGACCUCGGAUCAGGUAGGAAGACCCGCUGAACUUAAGC